CCUACGGGAGGCUGCAGUGGGGAAUAUUGGACAAUGGGGGAAACCCUGAUGCAGCGACGCCGCGUGAGUGAAGAAGUACUUCGGUAUGUAAAGCUUUAUCAGCAGGGAAGAAAAUGACGGUACCUGAGUAAGAAGCACCGGCUAACUACGUGACAGCAGCGGGGGUAAUACGUAGGGGGCCAGCGUUAUCCGGAUUUACUGGGGGUAAAGGGAGCGUAGACGGCAGCGCAAGUCUGAAGUGAAAUGCCGGGGCUUAACCCCGGAACUGCUUUUGAAACUGUGCAGCUAGAGUGCAGGAGAGGUAAGUGGAAUUCCUGGUGUAGCGGUGAAAUGCGUAGAUAUUAGGAAGAACACCAGUUGCGAAGGCAGCUUACUGGACUGUAACUGACACUGAGGCUCGAAAGUGUGGGUAUCAAACAGGAUUAGAUACCCUUGUAGUC
Molecule: ribosomal RNA, 440 nt
Filed under: uncultured bacterium
Lineage: Bacteria
Description: partial 16S ribosomal RNA
Rfam family: Bacterial small subunit ribosomal RNA
Source: RNAcentral